Molecule: non-coding RNA, 288 nt
Filed under: unidentified
Source: RNAcentral
CCGGUCGGGUGUGCUCGGGGUGGCCAGGCGGCCGGGGAGAAUCGGGAAGCCGGUGUGAGUCCGGCACGGGCCCGCCGCGGUGAUCGGGGAGCCGCCGCCCACGCGCACGGGCCACGUCCGACGGAUCGGGUGCUGACGGACUGGAUGGUGGUCGUCCAGGUGCCGUCCGCGCGAUCGAGGUCCGCUGGACGCGGCCCGGGAGCAGCCACUGGACCACGCGGUCCGGGAAGGCGGGCGGUCAGGUGUUGAUCCGAGAGUCCGAAGACCGGCCUCGCAUCCGUGCCAUCC